RNAcentral lists this ribosomal RNA (468 nucleotides) under uncultured bacterium. RNAcentral describes it as "partial 16S ribosomal RNA". It matches the Rfam family "Bacterial small subunit ribosomal RNA", at positions 28 to 507 of the family's 1533-position model. The record is from RNAcentral.
GACGAACGCUGGCGGCGUGCUUAACACAUGCAAGUCGAACGGAAAGGCCCUGCUUUUGUGGGGUGCUCGAGUGGCGAACGGGUGAGUAACACGUGAGUAACCUGCCCUUGUCUUUGGGAUAACUUCAGGAAACUGGGGCUCAUACCGGAUAGGAGCUCCUGCUGCAUGGUGGGGGUUGGAAAGUUUCGGCGGUUGGGGAUGGACUCGCGGCUUAUCAGCUUGUUGGUGGGGUAGUGGCUUACCAGGGCUUUGACGGGUAGCCGGCCUGAGAGGGUGACCGGCCACAAUGGGACUGAGAGACGGAGCAGACGGCUACGGGAGGCAGCAGUGGGGAGUAUUGCAGAAUGGGCGGGAGCGUGAUGCAGCAACGCCGCGUGCGGGAUGACGGCCUUCGGGUUGUAAACCGCUUUCGACUGUGACGAAGCGUGAGUGACGGUAAUGGGUAAAGAAGCACCGGCUAACUACGUG